Long non-coding RNA from Oreochromis aureus, 1019 nucleotides. RefSeq lists it as uncharacterized. Lineage: Eukaryota; Metazoa; Chordata; Actinopteri; Cichliformes; Cichlidae. The record is from RefSeq and is a predicted model, not a curated record. The transcript is spliced from 3 exons.
UGAUCUGCACUGAAACUGUGGCAGUUAUGAAAGAGUAUAAUGUACGACGUCAUUAUGAAACCAAACAUCAGGCCUAUGCAUCCUACACUGGUGCUGAGCGAGAGCAGAAAUUAAAGCAAAUGCUAGCUCUCCUGCAGGGUAAGCAACAGUAUUUUUUUCGUGCUCAAAUUGUCCAGGAAAAGGCUCCAAUAGCAGCUAUGAGGUCGCCCAACUCAUGGCAAGACAUGGCAAGCCUUUUUCAGACGGAGACCUCAUAAAACGCUGCUUCGUUAAAGUCACCGAAAUAAUGGGCCCGGAAAAAGUGCAGGACUUCAAUAACGUCAGCAUGUCCAGAAAUACACACUGUAAUCCCUAACAGUUGUUCUAGCUCAUAACUAAUAAGCUCAUAACACUCAAAUGUCGUUUUGUAGUUGAGCAAACUAUAAAGUAUUGAGCUCUGUUGGCUUUUAUGCAACUUUAAUUGAAUAGGGCUCAAUAUUUUUUAGCUAAUUUGUUUGGAACGCUCAAAAAGUUUAAGAAGCAUAUAUUAGUGACGUUCUGGUGGGUGGAGUCUUGUCGCUCCCUCAGGAAAGCUGAGUCAGCCAUCUUGAAUUUACCUUGAUGCGGGGAAGAUUUGGCCUGCCCGUGUGGAUUAAGAGUCCCCAACUUCAACCUACAACGACCACCACCUUAAUUUUUUUCAUCAACUGCCCUAAAUUUGAUUAGAGGGGUAUUCCACUAAGCGAGCUCUACAAGUCAAGACUGGGCAGUGGGUCCAUGAAUAAACUGCCUCACUCCUGCAGGUGUCUGUCCAUACUUCCCAUCGUUCAAGAACCAAAAGAUGGCUGCUGCCCAGAAGCAUGUGCUGCAUGUGUAUGUUGAACGAGACACCGCCCUGAAACUUACUCUACUUGAGCGACCAAAGUCAGUGGAGGAGCUGAAAGAAAUAAUUCAAGAGAGGUUCAAGCCAAGACUGAAUGGGGACUUUAGCCUUCACUAUGUCCUCAUGGACACAACCUAUGCCCUAUGUCGCCAAGAAA